AAAAAAAAAAAAAGCAGUGCAUGUUGCCUCUUCUAUUCAGGCUGUGACCAAAGGUUUCAAUGGUAAAGAUGACUCAUACCUUAAAGAACUAGAAGAAUUUUUUUGUGGCUUCUCUAUCCAUUGUCUUGCUCUCAUAAAACUGCUGAAUGACACCCAAGUGUAAAACCCACCAAAGAAAUAAGCGCUGGAUGACAUGUGGCAGAUUUUCCAACUCUCCAGGAAAAACUUCAGAUCAACUUGUUUCUCUGGAAACUACUCACAUCCGGGGGCUGUCCCUGUCCCCUGGGACUCAUAAACGUUCCUAUCUUCAAGGCACAGGCACUGGCCUAAAACAUGAAAGGUAUUCAGUAAAUGGAUACUUACCAUGACAGGAUCUAACCACUGGUGAGUUGCACAAUCUGUUACUGUGUCGUAGUCUGGAAACUCAUUACAGAAACUUGAUUGGCUUCUGCAGUCACUAUUGUAAGGUCU
This 471-nucleotide long non-coding RNA is filed under the name Gorilla gorilla gorilla (western lowland gorilla). RNAcentral describes it as "lncRNA (ENSGGOG00000044358.1)". The record is from RNAcentral. Lineage: Eukaryota; Metazoa; Chordata; Mammalia; Primates; Hominidae.